GACUUAACUGUUUUUCUUUACCAUUUUUUUUCAAAACAGGUGUUUCAUAGCGUGAUACGCCGCAAUCCUUCCCAAUUUUACCGCGCAUGAUCCAAAGAUAUCAAAGGAACCUGGGAGUCAAACUUUCCACCUAAUGAGUGAUGAAGUGUCAUCACAUUCAGUGAGAUGAGGAAGUAGAGAGACAUCUUGGACACAUUGCAUUUGACCCUGGGGUUUUGGAGGGCAGCCAUGUUUGGUCACAGCAAAAGCCAGGGACAAAGGAAAGGAUUAUAUAAAUGGGGUGGAUUACAUGGCCUGUUUGGAAUCUGGAUCUCUCUGGCUGAUGUGUCUGGCAGACACCCAUUUGGACCCAAAGUCAUAUUGUCUGUGUCAGUGAAGGAGCCCCUGAGAGCAGCACUGUCUGUCUGGGCAUGACUCAUACUAAACAGUGAGUUUGAACCUUCACUAAACCCACGCCAUGGGCUAGUCAAUGGUCUGCAGUCUCCAAACUCCCUGAGUUCCCCCUACAGUCUCAACAAAAUCUAUCAUUGUGCUUUAGUACUACAUGUAGCUCCUCUUUUUCUAACUGAGACUGUAAAAUGAAUCACUUGUGAAUGUCUCAGAGAGAAAGUAAUGUGAAAGUGGAUGUCACAACACAUC
Long non-coding RNA from Ctenopharyngodon idella (grass carp), 639 nucleotides. RefSeq lists it as uncharacterized. The record is from RefSeq and is a predicted model, not a curated record. NCBI's taxonomy places the organism in Eukaryota, Metazoa, Chordata, Actinopteri, Cypriniformes, Xenocyprididae. The transcript is spliced from 3 exons.